Molecule: long non-coding RNA, 355 nt
Organism: Acipenser ruthenus (sterlet)
Lineage: Eukaryota; Metazoa; Chordata; Actinopteri; Acipenseriformes; Acipenseridae
Exons: 3
Source: RefSeq, a predicted model, not a curated record
CGAGGAGGAAUUAUUUGAUGCAAUCUUUGCAGACCUGUCCAAGGCUUUUGAUCUGGUGGAUCACAGUCCACUGUUACAAAACUGCAGGCCUUGUGGCAAUGGCCUGCUCAGUUAUCAACAAGACCCCAAUUUGUUUAAACAUUGCAGAGUACAGGCUGGAAUUUUGGCUGGCAGAUACAUUUGUUCCAGUAUGAGAUCCAGCCAUGAUGCCGAUAAACUCGCUAAAUCAAAAGCAGAGUUGGAGAGACAGCAGAUCAAAAAUGACGUUCAGAAGAAAAGAAAAAUGAAGCUUUGUAACAAUGAAAGCUGACAUCCAGGUAAAAAGAGGAAGCUUGUCAAUAAGCCAAAGGUACGA